Molecule: unclassified non-coding RNA, 3871 nt
Filed under: Neodiprion pinetum (white pine sawfly)
Lineage: Eukaryota; Metazoa; Arthropoda; Insecta; Hymenoptera; Diprionidae
Description: transcriptional repressor protein YY1-like, transcript variant X3
Source: RNAcentral
AUGGCGUCAGCGGAGAUUAAUAUGGCGUCCUCAGACAUAAUAACCGAAGUGGAGAUUCAACCAGAUAUCCAGGAAGUCGAAAUCGAGACUAUACCAGUGGAAAUACCCUGUGAAACUGUAGAAACGACGAUCGAAGGGGAGGAUGGGCAGCCCAUGAUCGCAUUGCAGUCUCUGCCUGAGCCAGGGCGUGAAGAAAUCAUAUUGCAAACGCAAGAAGAAAUAGUUGGUGGAGACCCACUGAGCGUUUACGAUCAAAUACCAGUGCCAGACAACGAUAUUUAUGUUGAAUCAAGCCCGGGACCUUCCAGGAAAGGUCCCAAAAAAGCGCGUAAGGGCGGUAAUUCCAGAUUUAGAGCCCCGGAUCACACAAUAUUUGGAGACAUGGGGACGGAGACGAAGGCUAGGAAGUGGGAGCAGAAACAGGUGCAGAUUAAAACACUGGAAGGCGAGUUCUCCGUUACGAUGUGGGCAUCGGGAACCGAUGACGGGAGUGUCCUAUUAGCGUCUCACCUGGUGGAUGUUCCAGAUGAGGGUUCCAACCCAGAGCCCGAUCCAGACUACACAGAAUACAUGACUGGCAAGUCUGUGGCAAAAUUCAACCACUCUGGUAGUUCGGUUUCUGACGGUAUGCCAGGUCUUGAUCUUUCUGAUCCGAAACAAUUGGCAGAAUUCGCACGCCCAGGCCACAAAUUAAAAGUACGCAAGCCGCCCAGCAUAGAUGGAGUCGAACGUACUAUCGCCUGCCCACACAAAGGAUGUACGAAGAUGUUUCGUGACAAUAGCGCGAUGCGCAAACACCUUCACACCCAUGGCCCCAGGGUACAUGUAUGCGCUGAGUGCGGGAAGGCCUUUGUUGAGAGCUCCAAGUUGAAGAGACACCAACUUGUCCACACUGGGGAAAAGCCUUUUCAAUGUACCUUCGAAGGAUGUGGAAAACGCUUCAGUUUGGACUUUAACCUACGAACUCAUGUUAGAAUUCACACAGGAGAUCGACCUUACGUUUGCCCUUUCGAUGGAUGUAGCAAAAAAUUUGCUCAAUCUACGAACUUAAAAUCUCACAUACUGACUCAUGCAAAGGCUAAAUCUCGCAAUGCUAUCGGUAGACAGGUAUCACAGAUUCAAUUACAGCAACCACAAUUUGUUCAGGUGGAAGUCGCUGAUGUAGAUAACCAACAGUUCAUCGUGUAUGCUGAUUAGCCCCUCCAAAUUCCCUAUUCCCUAAUGACCCCAUUAUAAUUAUCAUAGCCUUUAAUUAUUAACCCAAACAGUGUACAUAUUUACAAGAUGCAGCGAGUGAUGAGGACAGGAGGGUACUAAAGCUAUUAGCUAUCUUAAAAGUUUGAAUCAAUUGAUCAAUAAAUACAUCUGUGCUACGAUUGAUUAUUAAAAUGAAGAAAAUAAAGAAUAAUCACAGUAAAGGAAGCACCAUAAACACAAAAAAUCAAUUAAAUUAUACUGCUGAACCAGAGUACCUAUCAAAGACAUACAAGAUAGUUUGCAUGGUAAAAUAUGUUUGUUUACAUUUUUAUUCAGAAUUAGGUUUUCAGAUUCAAUGUCAGUCUUUAUAGAAAAAUUGGUAAACUGUGAGAAUUUCACGAAAGUUGAAACGUAAAAUAUUUUCUAUUUUCAGAAAGACUGCUUAGUUUAAAUUUGUUCAAUUAAAUCAUAUCUAUAUUUAUACGAAUAAUGUAAUGAAUAAAUAUUUUCACAUAUUUGACUAUACAAGCCAGAAUAGCUGGAUUGCUUACAUCUAUCUCGUAUGUCCCAUGGUGCCAUUGAUCUGGGAAUAAAUGUUCAAAAGCUUGAAUUAAAGAAAUACAUCAUUAGUUCAUUAUAAUUAAAACAUGUGUAAUGGAAAAGAGUACGUUGAGAUGAUGUAAUUUUACACGUAGUAUAAGUAGAUACGAACGUCGUCUUGGUCUGAACAAUUACACAUGCUAAUUUUUAUAUAAAAUAUCUCUAUUGAAAAUCUUUUCACGUUCGAUGAAAUGGGGUAUUCAAUAUGAAUAAGAACAGUGAGUUUUAGGUACAUGAUCAGGCUUGCUGAAAAGUUGAAAAUAGAAAAAUCAAGUUAAUAUUUUGUGGAUUCCAGUAUGAAAUAUUUUUAAAUGCUAAGUCUACUACAAUGUGAAAGUUUUUCCUGAUUUGUAUAAUAUACUCAAGUUUUUUCAUAUUACGUUUUGGCAAUGGAUUGAUAAUUAUGUGGAUUGUGCAUACUUAUAUAAUCAUAUCGUCUAGUUUUAUGUGAUUUUGUACACACACCCAGUUUUUAUUACUGCCAGUUGUAAGAAUAGGAUGAAACACUGUGUCAAUCAUGUACUAGCAUGCUGAUGCAAAUUUGAUUGUUUUGUUCCUUAGUAUGCACGAUCCCUAUAGUCGUUUAUUCCGAGCUAUUUGAGUAAAAUAUAUUUGUCAGUUGAGAAUAACUAAUGUGAUUCUUGAGGUAAAACAAAAUAUAAUUGAUUAAUUAUCAAUAAUAGAAAACAAAUGCUCAGUGUUGCAUUUUUGAUUCAUCACGAUAUCAAAUAUGCAAAAGCAGCUGGUAUGUUUUACUUAUUUUUGGGGAUUGGUUGCUAACUAUAAUUCGUUUAGCAAUAAAUAGAAACGAAAUACCAAUAUUAGCCUACUGAUCAGAUACCAGUACAAAUGAAAAAUAAGGUCUAAACUAAUAGCAGUACUAAUUGAAAAUAUUCUUUUUGAGAUGAUAAAGCUAAAUCUUAAUUAUCGAAGUCAAGAGAUUUGUGCAUUUAUUCUCAGUGAUAAUGAUGCGAAACACUUUUAUCAUUAACAAUAAAUAAUUAAAACCUAAAAAAGAACACAUGUUAAAAAGAUGGAAAGGAUAAAUUUUAUUCUAUGUAAUAAUAUUAUUACUAUUAAACUUAAUGAUAUAUUUAAGUUUGUCAAUUUAUAUGAAAUGAGAUGAGAAAAAGUAAAUACAAAAUAAUGUCCGUGUUUAGUUAUUAUUCGUAUUACAUGUGUUGUAUCAUUUUUUGGGCAUUGAUUCAAAUGUUAUUGUUCAUAGAAAUUGUUGAGCAGUACCUUAUUGAAUAACUAAUCAAACAGGUAAGAGUGUUUUAAUGAUGCAUGUUCAAUUUUAUGCACGUACAUGAUCAUAUGCCCCAUUACUUCUCGAAUAUGAGAUUGAAACAUUGGCCGUUGAAUAUCAGUAUUAAUUGUCUUUCAAUCUCAGCCUUAGAAGAGGUAUCAAAAAGCUAAAAAAUACUGUACCAAUUUAGAUCUUAUUUUACAUACAUAAUUGAUUUAAAUCAUAUCCUUGUAGUUAUUUCUACGUGCCAGUGGGAGUUAAAAAUUUAAUAUUCACUGUCAAUCAGUCGUUAAUAAAUGAGGGCUAGUUUUGAUAGUACGAAAUGAGGUAAAGGCUAAAAUGGCAGAUGCUUUUCAAUCCAAUUUUAUUAAAACGAGAGUGAGCACUCGAAACAACUUUAUUUCUAUUAUGAAUACUAUAUAUAGGUAUGAACGCGUUUGCGGUAGUCAGUCAGUACUGAACUCACGUAUAUACGUCCCUUGGAUUGUGUUUCCGAUACAUUGAAAGUUACCGGGUAGUCUGCUACCGCUUGUUUGACAUGAACCGAGCUAAGGCAUGCAAUCAUACGGCGGGUCCACAGAAGUGUUACGAUAAUUGUGCGUGUGUGUAGGCUGUCUACCAGAUGUUAAACUAUAUGAAAAUGAUUGGUUUUCAUCAGUUCAAUGAAUUGACACUAGGCAACCAGGCACGAAUAUCUUCAGGGAUAUAUAGUCGGUGCUUUGACGUAUUUUUGUGUAUACGGCGAACGGCGAUUGAACAAGUUGAGAGAGCGGUAAAGUUUUGCAGUGGCGUGUCACACUCUGUGCUACAUUUAGUACAAAUAUG